RNAcentral lists this ribosomal RNA (253 nucleotides) under uncultured bacterium. RNAcentral describes it as "partial 16S ribosomal RNA". It matches the Rfam family "Bacterial small subunit ribosomal RNA", at positions 524 to 776 of the family's 1533-position model. The record is from RNAcentral.
UACGUAGGGGGCAAGCGUUGUCCGGAAUCACUGGGCGUAAAGGGCGCGUAGGCGGCCUGAUAAGUAGGGGGUGAAAUCCUGUGGCUUAACUGCAGGGCUGCCUCCUAGACUGUUAGGCUCGAGCACGGUAGAGGCAGAUGGAAUUCCCGGUGUAGUGGUGGAAUGCGUAGAGAUCGGGAAGAACAUCGGUGGCGAAGGCGGUCUGCUGGGCCGUUGCUGACGCUGAGGCGCGACAGCGUGGGGAGCAAACAGG